GCGGGUGUGGCUUAGUGGUAAAGCAUCUCCUUCCCAAGGAGAAGAUCGCGAGUUCGAAUCUCGUCACCCGCUCCA
Molecule: transfer RNA, 75 nt
Filed under: candidate division WWE3 bacterium RIFOXYD1_FULL_39_9
Lineage: Bacteria; candidate division WWE3
Description: tRNA-Gly
Rfam family: tRNA
About the family: Transfer RNA (tRNA) molecules are approximately 80 nucleotides in length. Their secondary structure includes four short double-helical elements and three loops (D, anti-codon, and T loops).
Source: RNAcentral